AGAAUAUUUUCCAUUGAUUCUUCUCGUGGUCGUUUAGGGCUUUCACUUGUUGACUCACUUUCAGUUUUAUACGGAUAAAUAUUUUCAAAAAACUCUGCAUUAUCUUAUUCAAUUAUCGUAUUAACAUGAAUCUCAGGAUUAUCAGAUUUGUGAACCAAAAAUCGACAAGCUUUACUAUUCACAGCAUACCCAAUAAAGACACAAUCUAUUGUUUUGGGUCCAAUUUUAACCCUCUUAGGUAAAGGAACCUCUACCUUGG
Molecule: unclassified non-coding RNA, 259 nt
Filed under: Hevea brasiliensis (rubber tree)
Lineage: Eukaryota; Viridiplantae; Streptophyta; Magnoliopsida; Malpighiales; Euphorbiaceae
Source: RNAcentral